This 501-nucleotide ribosomal RNA is filed under the name uncultured bacterium. RNAcentral describes it as "partial 16S ribosomal RNA". It matches the Rfam family "Bacterial small subunit ribosomal RNA", at positions 30 to 523 of the family's 1533-position model. The record is from RNAcentral.
AUUGAACGCUGGCGGCAGGCUUAACACAUGCAAGUCGAGCGGAGAGAGGUAGCUUGCUACUGAUCUUAGCGGCGGACGGGUGAGUAAUGCUUAGGAAUCUGCCUAUUAGUGGGGGACAACAUUUCGAAAGGAAUGCUAAUACCGCAUACGUCCUACGGGAGAAAGCAGGGGAUCUUCGGACCUUGCGCUAAUAGAUGAGCCUAAGUCGGAUUAGCUAGUUGGUGGGGUAAAGGCCUACCAAGGCGACGAUCUGUAGCGGGUCUGAGAGGAUGAUCCGCCACACUGGGACCGAGACACGGCCCAGACUCCUACGGGAGGCAGCAGUGGGGAAUAUUGGACAAUGGGCGGAAGCCUGAUCCAGCCAUGCCGCGUGUGUGAAGAAGGCCCUAUGGUUGUAAAGCACUUUAAGCGAGGAGGAGGCUACUUUAGUUAAUACCUAGAGAUAGUGGACGUUACUCGCAGAAUAAGCACCGGCUAACUCUGUGCCAGCCGCCGCAGUAA